UAGGGAAUCUUCCACAAUGGACGCAAGUCUGAUGGAGCAACGCCGCGUGAGUGAAGAAGGUUUUCGGACCGUAAAGCUCUGUUGUUGGCGAAGAAGGAUAGAGGUAGUAACUGGCCCUUUAUUUGACGGUAAUCAACCAGAAAGUCACGGCUAACUACGUGCCAGCAGCCGCGGUAAUCGUAGGUGGCAAGCGUUGUCCGGAUUUAUUGGGCGUAAAGCGAGCGCAGGCGGAAGAAUAAGUCUGAUGUGAAAGCCCUCGGCUUAACCGAGGAAUUGCAUCGGAAACUGUUUUC
Molecule: ribosomal RNA, 293 nt
Filed under: uncultured bacterium
Lineage: Bacteria
Description: partial 16S ribosomal RNA
Rfam family: Bacterial small subunit ribosomal RNA
Source: RNAcentral